AUACCGAAUAUUGAAACAUAAGUGGCAUCACUGAGUUUUGAAAGAAUUUCGGUGGAGGAUGACUUCGCGGCCUAUCAGCUAGUUGGUGAGGUAAUGGCUCACCAAGGCAACGACGGGUAGCCGGCCUGAGAGGGCGACCGGCCACACUGGGACUGAGACACGGCCCAGACUCCUACGGGAGGCAGCGGUGGGGAAUAUUGGGCAAUGGAGGAAACUCUGACCCAGCGACGCCGCGUGCGGGAUGAAGGCCUUCGGGUUGUAAACCGCUUUCAGUAGGGAAGAAGCGAAAGUGACGGUACCUACAAAAGAAGCACCGGCUAACUAUGUGCCAGCAGCCGCGGUAAUACAUAGGGUGCAAGCGUUGUCCGGAAUUAUUGGGCGUAAAGAGCUCGUAGGUCGUUUGUUACGUCGGAUGUGAAAACCUGAGGCUCAACCUCAGGCCUGCAUUCGAUACGGGCAAACUAGAGUUUGGUAGGGGAGACUGGAAUUCCUGGUGUAGCGGUGGAAUGCGCAGAUAUCAGGAGGAACACCAAUGGCGAAGGCAGGUCUCUGGGCCAAUACUGACACUGAGGAGCGAAAGUCUGGGGAGCGAACAGGAUUAGAUACCCUGGUAGUCCAGACCGUAAACGGUGGGCACUAGUUGUGGGAACCUUCCACGGUUUCUGCGACGCAGCUAACGCAUUAAGUGCCCCGCCUGGGGAGUACGAUCGCAAGAUUAAAACUCAAAGGAAUUGACGGGGCCCCGCACAAGCAGCGGAGCAUGCGGCUUAAUUCGACGCACCGCGAAGAACCUUACCAAGGCUUGACAUAUAGGGAAAAGUGGCA
Molecule: ribosomal RNA, 825 nt
Filed under: uncultured Actinomycetes bacterium
Lineage: Bacteria; Bacillati; Actinomycetota; Actinomycetes
Description: bacterial SSU rRNA
Rfam family: Bacterial small subunit ribosomal RNA
Source: RNAcentral